This 1360-nucleotide long non-coding RNA is filed under the name Capsella grandiflora. RNAcentral describes it as "long non-coding RNA (CGRA_LNC001477)". Lineage: Eukaryota; Viridiplantae; Streptophyta; Magnoliopsida; Brassicales; Brassicaceae. The record is from RNAcentral.
AACACUAUCACCACCUUGGUCUCCAGGGAGCUUAGGAUGUGCACGGGACUGCAACAGCCAAGACAACAAGUAAGGCAGAGGCGGGGAUCGAACUCGGAAACCAAAUACUUUACGAUGGUCCAAUGGUUCUUGAGGCUUCAAUAGAGAAUUUGCUUCUGACAAAACCUUUAGGGAGUAGCACAAUAGCAACAGCUGAGGUCGCCAAGUUUGGCCAUUCGGGAGAACCUUCACUCCUUCCCGGUUCUUCCUACACAAGGGGUGAUUCUCAACAAGAGAAACAGGAUUCAUCAGACUUGGGUUCAUCAAGCGUAAAUCACCAACGGCCUGUCCUAUAGACUGUUGCACUAUAUGUGAGCACUGCGCUACAAACACAUCAUAGCUCAAUGGGGUGCCAGAUGGGCCAUCAGGAGGGGCAGAAGCAGCAUGGGUCAAUGUAACUAUGGCGUUUUUCCAUAUGGAUGAACCAAGAGAAGCAGUAAUCGUCCUUAGCAAGGGCAAAUUGUUCAAGUCCCUGGUCUGGGUAUCAAGCCGAUCCACAUAAAGAACAAGAUCAGGGGGACACUUCUUCAUUACCUUCUUUACAGAGGACAACAUUUUUGCAUUUGUACUUUGAUCCAUCGCAGCAGACUUCAAACCCGGAGUAUCAAUAAAGGUAAUCUUGACACCACCCACUGUUUCAGAAAUUUCUCUAACUGAAGUGGUUGAGAGCCCAAAAGCAUCAAUGGACGCCUUCUGAUUUCCCAAAAUGGAGUUUAUAGUAGCACUUUUUCCCACUCCCGCUUUCCCAAGGACCAAUAUAUUUAGAGAGAAGUUCAAAUCUUCAUUUCCCUCAGCCUCAGACUCCAUAGCCUUCUUCUUUGCAGCAUCAAGACUGAAUAACUGCCCUGUUUGUCUCCCAGCAAGUAGUGCAAGACGGUAAAGAACCUGUGCUGCAAUUGAAUCUUCUGCGGAAUGCCCCAACCUCUGCAAAAGCCGCAAAAACUUCACACGGAGGCUUUGCAACUUUUCCAAUUUCUGUUUCUCUUCCUCGCUCAAGUUAACCUCAGUCUCAUCCGUCAUUAUGACAUUAGGAUUGGAAAAGAUGUUGGAACGGUUAGCACGUGGAGCUGCUGCAGGUUUCAAGGGCCUUAACGAUGAACUCAAACCAGCAGGUGGAUCCAUAGAGAAAAGCUUCGUUCCAUCCUGAGAUGUUAUGGUAAAAUUGCCACCUUCUGAACUACCACCACCAGUGGCUGCCUUCAAAAGCGCAGCCAAAGCUGCAGAAUCAAACAUUUUCUCCCCCCCUUCAUCCUCUGUGUCUACAUCCUCGUCAGAAUCAGUGACAAUCUGGCCAUCAAUCCUAUCUGACAUAUUGUUAGAA